GAGUUUGAUCAUGGUUCAGGACGAACGCUGGCGGCGUGCCUAAUACAUGCAAGUCGAGCGAGCGGAACCAACAGAUUUACUUCGGUAAUGACGUUGGGAAAGCGAGCGGCGGAUGGGUGAGUAACACGUGGGGAACCUGCCCCUAAGUCUGGGAUACCAUUUGGAAACAGGUGCUAAUACCGGAUAAUAAAGCAGAUCGCAUGAUCAGCUUUUGAAAGGCGGCGUAAGCUGUCGCUAAGGGAUGGCCCCGCGGUGCAUUAGCUAGUUGGUAAGGUAACGGCUUACCAAGGCGACGAUGCAUAGCCGAGUUGAGAGACUGAUCGGCCACAUUGGGACUGAGACACGGCCCAAACUCCUACGGGAGGCAGCAGUAGGGAAUCUUCCACAAUGGACGCAAGUCUGAUGGAGCAACGCCGCGUGAGUGAAGAAGGUUUUCGGAUCGUAAAGCUCUGUUGUUGGUGAAGAAGGAUAGAGGUAGUAACUGGCCUUUAUUUGACGGUAAUCAACCAGAAAGUCACGGCUAACUACGUGCCAGCAGCCGCGGUAAUACGUAGGUGG
Molecule: ribosomal RNA, 558 nt
Filed under: uncultured Lactobacillus sp.
Lineage: Bacteria; Bacillati; Bacillota; Bacilli; Lactobacillales; Lactobacillaceae
Description: bacterial SSU rRNA
Rfam family: Bacterial small subunit ribosomal RNA
Source: RNAcentral